GGGGAAUAUUGCACAAUGGGGGAAACCCUGAUGCAGCAACGCCGCGUGAGUGAUGAAGGCCUUCGGGUUGUAAAGCUCUGUCUUCAGGGACGAUAAUGACGGUACCUGAAGAGGAAGCCACGGCUAACUACGUGCCAGCAGCCGCGGUAAUACGUAGGAGGCGAGCGUUGUCCGGAAUUACUGGGCGUAAAGGGCGCGUAGGCGGCCUGUUAAGUCAGAUGUGAAAACCCCAGGCUCAACCUGGGGACUGCGUAUGAAACUGAUGGGCUAGAGUGUCGGAGAGGGAAGCGGAAUUCCUAGUGUAGCGGUGAAAUGCGUAGAUAUUAGGAGGAACACCAGUGGCGAAGGCGGCUUUCUGGACGAUAACUGACGCUGAGGCGCGAAAGCGUGGGGAGCAAAC
This 400-nucleotide ribosomal RNA is filed under the name uncultured bacterium. RNAcentral describes it as "bacterial SSU rRNA". It matches the Rfam family "Bacterial small subunit ribosomal RNA", at positions 356 to 773 of the family's 1533-position model. The record is from RNAcentral.